AGAAUCAACGCUGGCGGCGUGCCUAACACAUGCAAGUCGCACGAGAAAGGGGCUUCGGCCCUGAGUAAAGUGGCGCACGGGUGAGUAACACGUGAAUAAUCUACCUCCGAGUGGGGAAUAACUGAGAGAAAUCUUAGCUAAUACCGCAUAAUACUUACGAGUCAAAAGCAGCAAUGCGCUUGGAGAGGAGUUCGCGGCCGAUUAGUAGUUGGCGGGGUAAUGGCCCACAAGACGAUGAUCGGUA
Molecule: ribosomal RNA, 244 nt
Filed under: uncultured bacterium
Lineage: Bacteria
Description: partial small subunit ribosomal RNA
Rfam family: Bacterial small subunit ribosomal RNA
Source: RNAcentral